RNAcentral lists this small nuclear RNA (297 nucleotides) under Oryctolagus cuniculus (rabbit). Its description in RNAcentral is "7SK RNA". It matches the Rfam family "7SK RNA". Rfam says of the family: 7SK was discovered as an abundant small nuclear RNA in the mid-70s but a possible function has only recently been suggested. Two independent studies have found that 7SK RNA binds the CDK9/cyclin T complex (known as elongation factor P-TEFb). Lineage: Eukaryota; Metazoa; Chordata; Mammalia; Lagomorpha; Leporidae. The record is from Rfam by way of RNAcentral.
GGAUGUGAGGGUGAUCUGGCUGCGACAUCUGUCACCCCAUUGAUCGCCAGGGUUGAUUCGGCUGAUUUGGCUGGCUGGGCGGGUGUCUCCUUCCUCCCUCACUGCUACACGUGCGUCCCUCUGAAGCUGCACACUCAGUCGAAGAGGACGACCUUCCCCGCUAGAGGAGGACCGGUCUUUGGUCGAGGGUAUAUGAGUGGCUGUGUUCCCCUGCUAGAACCUCCAAACAAGCUUCAAAAUGCAUUGUUAGAUGAAGCCAGCAAGUUACAACAGUAUGGAUAGCAGGAUCACAUUUGU